ACGACAACGUUUUGUUCGCUGUUUGCUUCCGUGCGUGGAGCCCUCGGAGCUGUGCUCUGAGCCACGGAAUCCGGGCGGGGGAUCGCGCUGCCGGCCGCGUGUCGGGGCGCGGGGACGACGUUGCCGCUGCUGCCGCCCCAAGGCCGCGCGCGGAGGGGCCGUGGCAACGCCCGCGGCGGCCACGAGGGGUCCCCCUCGGGCAGGGCUGCGGCCGCGCCGGCCGGCUUCGGGGAGCGGGGCGCGGAGCGGUUCUUGCGGCCGAGCUCGGGCUCCCGCGCACUUCGUUUGUGACGGGCUGCUGGCCGCUGUUCGCUCGUCUUCGGGAGAGGUGCCGCCUCAGCACCUCCCCAGCUGCUGCGGUGAUUCCUUCUACCUGGAGCACAGAGGAUCCGAGGGAAGGAGCACUUGUCAGCAGGAAGCACAGGUCUCAUGGAUGGCUUUUGAAGGCUGUGGGCAGGGCUGAAGUGCUGAGUUCCUGCAGCAGGGAUGCAGCGGAAGUCUGGAGGAAAAGCAGCUAUGGAGAUAACAGCAGCAGUGACAAUCAGAAGAAGAGGGAUGGAGCUUAACUCAAAGACAACCCAUCGACUGAAGCAGACAUCUGUUUCCGUGGAAAAAGUCAUCUGUUGCUGUGAUGAGCUCGUGCCCCUCCUUGCCUUGGGGGAGCUGGGAGGAGGGGAAGGAGGGAUGGAGGUGGCCAGCAUGCUGCUGGUCAGGCCGAGCUGUGCCUGAGCCACAGGCAAAGGACCUCCAGGGGGUGGGUUAGGGGCUUGGAUCCCAGCACCUGUCACCUCUGCUGUGGGCAGCCCUGACUGUAGCAUUGCCCUGCUUUGCUUCAGAGCCACACCCUUCACAAAAGCACAAGCAUCCCCAAACACACCCGAGCUCCUGACAUGGUGCCACGGGUUUCUGCCAGGCUCUGCUUCCAUCCUGCACGAGCACCAGGGCAGCCUGGAGAGUAAACAAUAUCCUUUAAUAGGAACAGCGGGCAGCUGCUUCUAGUGCAGGCAGGCAGGAGCAUUCCCCAUUCAGAGCUAGCACACGGGAAGCAGGAAGGCAGAAGGGGAACUGAAAUGCCCUGAUUUGGAAGUCUCUAGUAGAAAGGCGGCUGUUUCGUGUGCCGAGGCCAAGGGAGAUAUUUUUAUUCAGCAGGAAAUAUUCCGUGUCUGCUCAGUAUAGAGGCUCCAGCCCGCACUCCCGGCCCCCAGUGGAUGUGACCAUGGCAAGCACAGGAGCUGCUGCCAGCUCCUUGGGGCCUCUGCGUGGGGCUGGGGCUGCAGCCCUCUCCCCAUUGCCCACCCCCUGUUCUGAGGCCUGACCCGCACUCUGCAGCCUAACCCGCUCUCUGCAGCUCACCCCAUUUCAUGUGGCCUAACUUGCUCCCUGCACCCAGCGGAGCCAGGAGGGGAGAUGCCAAAGUGUGAACAGGCAUCCAAGCAGCAAAAACAGUGAAGUGGGUGGGCAUCGCUCCCAUUUCCAUGAGAAUGAGGGAAAGAUGGGGAGCCUGGCUCCAGGUUUCCUACUGCGCUGUCACCCACUGAUGGGCUCUCUGCUUUGUUCAUCUCUGCUUUUUCCCCCUUUCCUUAUGUAGACUGUUCUCAGUGGAGCCCAGCUGCUGGUCCCGCUCACUACAAACACUCCUGUAAGCCCCAGGCUGCCACUGCUAGUACACAGGCACAAGGGGUCCCACAGCCCAACAAGGACAAAGCUUUUAGGGCAAAGCACCUGCAGCUGGGGGCCAGGAGAGGGCCUGCUCUAGGGCUGUAAUCAUUAAGGUUGGAAAAGCCCACUAAGAUCACCUAGUCUAACUGUCAACCCAUCAGCACCACGCCCACUAAAUCUGUCCUUCAGUGCCACAUCUUCCUCUUCGGUGCUGCCUGCUGCCAGCCCUCGGGCUGAAGCGUAGGUCUGUGCUGAGCUGGGCCGCAGGGUGACAUCCGCUUUGGUGCCAUCCCCACCCUGGGGGAGGUGACCUUCAGGGGACCAGGGUCUCCAGCCUGGGAGGAGCAAGCAGACGACCAGGCUCUUCACCUCCCAUACUGUACAUUAUACAGAUUUCUCAGUCCCCGGGAGAUGUUCUGCAGGCAUUUUUUUUUAUUUCUGAAGAGCAGGCAGCAGGGAAAGGAAAGGUUGAGCUCCCUUGGGAACUUUGUAAUUUAUUUUUACUUUUUGUUUCUUUAAUCUUGAGGAAGGAACAGACUAAAAGGGGCAUAAAUUAAAAGAAAAAAUGCAGCUAGCUAGGACAAAAAUAUGCGGCUGAAACCUUUGCCCAGGGUUGUGAGUUCAUGCAUGAGAGACGCUCAGCUAAGGGGAGCAUUCUUCAUGUCAAACUAGGACUUUAUUGUGUUCUACCUGUGUUUCUUCUGGGAGAGUGACCAGAGUGAUCCUCCCCUCCAACAGUGAGCAUGGAGGCAGGGGACCACAUCCAAUAGUGAGCCACCAAGAGCCGUGAUGUGCCAAGCUCCAAGAUUACUGCUUUGCUCAUUGGGCUUUCUUCUAAGCUCAGUAUUAACCAGAGUUGAACAGCACACACAAAAGUCAGAAGCGAGGGUUAACCAAAGCUGAGGGGUGGGGGCUUGUGCUUGGGAGGGUGGUGGGACUGAGGGGGCUGCAUGCAGCAGUGUUCGCCCUUGCCAGAGCCCAGCAGGUAUUUCCUAGCAUCCAGCCAGCAGGCACAAAGUGUUUUAUCCCACUUCUGGUCACAUGAAUGAAGCUUUUUAAUAACUAUUCCUGUGCUCAGUCAAAUAGCUCUUUGUUUUAUAAAUGCAUUUCAUUGCUUCUCUGUAUCUUCUUGAUGUAUAUAAUGCAAAAUCCCUUUAGGUAAAUUAAUGUGUGUUUUCAGUGA
Numida meleagris (helmeted guineafowl) is the source of this 2842-nucleotide long non-coding RNA. RefSeq lists it as uncharacterized. The record is from RefSeq and is a predicted model, not a curated record. Lineage: Eukaryota; Metazoa; Chordata; Aves; Galliformes; Numididae. The transcript is spliced from 2 exons.